CCAUCUUGGUCCAUCUUUCCAUUGUUCCAACAAUCACCACUCUGGUUUGGUUGAAAUAAACCCUUAAUUCGAGGGGGGUCUGGCUGCAGACCUCCAGUGUCAGGCUGCCUCCAGUGUCAGGACCAGAAAUAACAAACUUUUUGUGCGUGUCUUAAAGGAGUCUGGCGUAUAUAUUGCGACUAAAAACAACGAAAAAGUAGGAGAAGAAGAUUUAUUGCCGCAGAUUGACUACCAUUGGGACAACAGUAAAUAACAAAUAUGUAUAUAUAGAUAUAGACAUAAACACACACCAUAUGUUUGCUGUUUUACUAGCCGCAUUACGCACGCAAAUUACCGAAUGUUACUAACGUGGAUGGGUUGUAAUUUUUUACGCUAACGGUGGCUAACGGUUGACUGACGCUCAGGUUAUUUGUUGUCUAAAUGAAAAUGACAUGAGGAUAAGUUUUUAAGUUUUUCUAUCCUUCAUUCCACUCAUUUUAUACUUUUACCAAUUGAAAUACAUAUAUUUUAACGGCACUUUUUCUGUGUUAUGUAGAUGCAUCGUUCAAUCUAUGAAGAGGGUAAAGGGUUUAAAGUGGAACGCUGUACAGCUUGUUGUAAGCUGUUCCACUGCCCCCUUUGCCCCAAAUACAAACCCAGCCAACGAGCCAAGCUUCAGCAGCACCUCGAUGUUCACAUUAAAAAUGCUAUUAUAUUCAAAGCCAUGGCAAACAGUUUGCCCACUGGACAGACACAGCAAAGGCCAUCCUGCGAGGUGAGGUGCCAUCAGUGUUCCGUCUGAAGAAGCGGAAAAUGGAUGACGUCACUGAGGGAGAGGAUCAAGUACACCCUGUUUUGCAGCCUCCCGAAGCUAGGGAUGAAAAAGAUGUUGAGAUGAAAAUCAGCAGAGUGGGUGGAAACAAACCAGCAUUUGUUUUCAUCCAAGGUGGAGUUGCCCAGUGCAGUCGGAAUGGGAGAGGAGGAAAUGGAAGAAGCUGCAAAGCAGUAUGCCAGACUUUGGUCUGAGGAGGAAAGUUCCAAGCUUGAGGAACUAGAGAAAGAUGACAUCCGGGAACCAUUUAAGUUCAAAUUCUCCACAAUCGAGGACAUGUGGCUGUUUUGUGAUGAGAUUUGUGACAAACAAGGAUACUUGGCAUAUUGUGAAUGUAAAGUGGAGUAGUAACAUUAAAUAAAAGCUUAGCUGCAACCACCAGCCUACUUUUUACAUUCACAGGACUAAUUGAGGACAUUGUUUUUUGGGGAUUUUUUUCCUGUGUGCCAGUUAGUGUCCAAAACCAGCUGUAAGUUCAAAGAUUACCUCUAGUUUUUAUGUAUUGUGAUAUCACCAUGUUUCUAGUUCUACACCCGUUUCUGCAGGUGUAGUUUUUGAUAUUUAGAAUUUCUGUAAAGAAGAUUGCAGUGCCAAUUUGUCAUUUUAUUUUCAUUAUUUGUAA
Perca fluviatilis (European perch) is the source of this 1433-nucleotide long non-coding RNA. RefSeq lists it as uncharacterized. The record is from RefSeq and is a predicted model, not a curated record. Lineage: Eukaryota; Metazoa; Chordata; Actinopteri; Perciformes; Percidae. The transcript has 4 exons.